GUCGAUAUGUUCGAGUGGUUAAGGAGACAGACUUAAAAUCUGUUGGGUUUUCACCCGCGCAAGUUCGAACCCUGUUGUUGACA
Cucurbita pepo subsp. pepo (vegetable marrow) is the source of this 83-nucleotide non-coding RNA. The record is from the annotation of a RefSeq genome assembly. NCBI's taxonomy places the organism in Eukaryota, Viridiplantae, Streptophyta, Magnoliopsida, Cucurbitales, Cucurbitaceae.